Molecule: unclassified non-coding RNA, 240 nt
Filed under: uncultured Ascomycota
Lineage: Eukaryota; Fungi; Ascomycota
Description: sequence contains 5.8S rRNA gene
Rfam family: 5.8S ribosomal RNA (bases 1-53)
Source: RNAcentral
GAACGCACAUUGCGCCCCUUGGUAUUCCGAGGGGCAUGCCUAUUCGAGCGUCAUUAUCACCCCUCAAGCCUAGCUUGGUGUUGAGGUCUGCUGUAAAGGCAGCCUCUAAAAUCAGUGGCAGUGCUGUCAGGCUCUAAGCGUAGUAAAUUUAUCGCUAUAGGGUCCUGGUGGAUACUCGUCAAAACCCCCCAUUUUUAAUGAUUGACCUCGGAUUAGGUAGGGAUACCCGCUGAACUUAAG